AGUUCCUUGCUCGUGCUCUAUCUCCUUCUUCAGCUGAAAUCUUAUACUUAUGUAUUUUCAGAUUUGUUGGCUAUAUUUUAAAACCUGGAUAUAUUUGUGCAUUUCCUGUUAUUUCUUUCCACUAGAAAUCAUUUGUCUUCCUUGUCAUAGGUAAUAGAAUGUCGACCCACUGUUCUUUUUCUUGAAUAAUUUGCCUGAGAUCAACAUCCAGUCAAUGCUCGGUGAAGUAACAUCCACCUGAAUCUUUUCCUUUAUAACCACUGGGAAAGUCCUGAGCCUUUUCAGAGUCCUAGGAAUGUUUCAUAUUUCUGAUACUGUGUCUGAUUGCUGCUCGGCGAGGUAGUAGUUCAAGCCAUAAAGCCGCGCUUCUUCUUCCCAUCCUGAGAAGCUCACACUGGAGACCAUUUCUCUUAUCCUAUGGCUUUCUCUUCCCUCGUCUGCAAUGGUCACUGAGCCUUGGGAAGAGGACUGUGUGGUACAGAUGCCCCGUGUUCAGCAUGUUCAGCAAGCUCAGUCACUCAUUCUCUGCACCCUGAUUGGUUGUAGGCUUCUGAAUUAAUUGCUUUUUACUGCAAAGAGAAGCUCCUCUGCCAAGGUCUUGGUAAUGCACUCAUCUGUGGGUUAACAAGAAGUAGUUAGGAGUCAGGUUGAUGACAUGUGCUAUUAUCAGAGCACUAGCUGUGGGUUCUUCCCUGGGGCCUAGGGCCAAUAGCCAAGGUUAUUGAUCCCCAUGUCAGCACAGGAUUCUGUUUCAUUCUGUCUUCCGGGACCUCAAUCCAAUCAGAAAGCAUCUGCUUAUUCCUAUGGCAUCCAUACCAUUGUAGUACAAGUGGGCAUGUCCUGUCAGGCGGGUUGUUUCUGUAGCUUGCAGGACCCAUAGCCACAUAAGACUAAUGAUUACUCUCUGCUCUAACACUAUGGAAACCAUUCAGUAGGGAUGAAACUUCCAGGUCUGUACCAUCUCCAGUUUUCUAGGUUCUAUGAUUCAAGUAUGUGGUGCCUUUAGUUACAGGGUAUUACUCUAGAAUUUGAGAGGGUAACUAAUUCCAUUGGCAAUGGCCUCUCACAUUUGGGGACCUAAGAGACCUCACAGGCCAACAGCUCCAAGAAAGGUAACCUACUGCUGACUUUGGAUUUUUGUUUGCCUACAGUGUCUGGUAGUGGCAUUGCUACCCCGUUACAGUGCAGCUCCAUUUAAGUUCUUCCUCUGCAUGUAUGUAUUUAUAUUUUAAGAAACUUCUUUACUACUGGUUCUUAUAGGACUUAAAGGUCUUUAGUGUUAUUUAUCCCACUCGA
Molecule: long non-coding RNA, 1296 nt
Organism: Microtus ochrogaster (prairie vole)
Lineage: Eukaryota; Metazoa; Chordata; Mammalia; Rodentia; Cricetidae
Exons: 3
Source: RefSeq, a predicted model, not a curated record